AAUAUUAUCCAAAUACAUAGUGAAGGUAUAAUUCACUUCUGGCAUACUGAUUGGGUUUACCUGAGUCAGAACAAUGUGAUUGAGGCUUACCCUGAGUUUGUCCUGACCUACCUAGAGGAACUAAAUGAAAGAGGAGGUGACCCAGACAGAAAACCGCAUUCACCAUGGGGCCUGAUCUGCAGCUCAUCAGGAGAUAGACAGCAGCUCAGCAGAAGAGAUUCUGCAAAAAAAUGUCAGCAACCCCAAUCAGAAACAACUUUCAGGACCUUUGGACGCCCAUUUAAUGCCUGCAGAUCCCCUAGGGGAGACUACACAGCUGACAGUGGCACUGGUGAGGAAACUAGAAGAGAAACAUCCUAAGGCCUCAGCUCAAAGUCCUAUUUAGGAUAAUGGCAUGCUUGAACUGUUCGUUUCCCAUCACCAUGCUGUCUGAAGCAGGAAGCCCACGCGGCAAGCUGUGAGAGAUUUCCUCUUCUUGAAGGUGGGCUUUUUA
This 493-nucleotide long non-coding RNA is filed under the name Anser brachyrhynchus (Pink-footed goose). Its description in RNAcentral is "lncRNA (ENSABRG00000017985.1)". The record is from RNAcentral. Lineage: Eukaryota; Metazoa; Chordata; Aves; Anseriformes; Anatidae.